Molecule: long non-coding RNA, 531 nt
Organism: Sander lucioperca (pikeperch)
Lineage: Eukaryota; Metazoa; Chordata; Actinopteri; Perciformes; Percidae
Exons: 2
Source: RefSeq, a predicted model, not a curated record
UUUUCAAAGAUCGUAUCAACAGUCACCAUCUAAAAGCUGCCUUACACGGAUCCAUUCUCCGUCCUGAGAAAACCUGGCAUGAACAUAAGUCAGGGAAAUUAGAAUUUUAUCUGGAAUAAGUUGCCCACACUCCAGAGCUUGUCAGAUCUGCACUUGACCACAUACUAUAAAUACGGUACUGAUGUACCUGCACUGCCCAGUUCAGAUUCAAGUGAUUGAAUUUGGAAAGAGAUAUUUGCAAAUACAACACAUAAACCCUGUUGGCAGCUUAGACAGUAACUUCAGACUGUAGUUAAACACGUCCCUAGAACAUACCCUGUGGAGUUUUUAUUGUCAACAUGGCUUUGUUUACAUUCAACAAACAUUGUAUGUAUCCUGAAGGCCUAAAAAAUAUUUUUUUAACCCCAUACAGCAUUUGCAAUGCCUGUUUCUGAAUAUUUUAAGCCAUUUUUUUCCAAUACAGCUGCAACCUUCUACUAAUGUGUUAAUGGGGCCUGGCUACUUUUUAUGAGCCAUUAAAAAUUGAUUACA